AGAGUUUGAUCCUGGCUCAGAACGAACGCUGGCGGCGUGCCUAACACAUGCAAGUCGAACGAGAAAGUCCUUCGGGGCGAGUAGAGUGGCGCACGGGUGAGUAACACGUAGGUAACCUGCCCUAAAGAUGGGGAUAACUUUUCGAAAGGAAAGCUAAUACCCGAUAAGACCACAGAGUCUGCGGAUUCAGUGGUAAAAGGGAGCGCAAGUUGCGCUUUAGGAUGGGCCUGCGGUGCAUUAGCUUGAUGGUGGGGUAACGGCCUACCAUGGCUGCGAUGCAUAGCUGGUCUGAGAGGACGAUCAGCCACACUGGAACUGAGACACGGUCCAGACUCCUACGGGAGGCAGCAGUGGGGAAUAUUGGACAAUGGGGGAAACCCUGAUCCAGCAACGCCGCGUGAGUGAUGAAGGCCCUCGGGUCGUAAAGCUCUGUUGAGGGGGAAGAAUCCCCGGUUUAACACUCCGGGUUGACGUUACCCCUUGAGAAGCACCGCUAACU
This 499-nucleotide ribosomal RNA is filed under the name uncultured bacterium. RNAcentral's name for it is "bacterial SSU rRNA". It matches the Rfam family "Bacterial small subunit ribosomal RNA", at positions 8 to 502 of the family's 1533-position model. The record is from RNAcentral.